GAUGAACGCUGGCGGCGUGCCUAAUACAUGCAAGUCGAGCGAACAGACGAGGAGCUUGCUCCUCUGACGUUAGCGGCGGACGGGUGAGUAACACGUGGAUACCCUACCUAUAAGACUGGGAUAACUUCGGGAAACCGGAGCUAAUACCGGAUAAUAUAUUGAACCGCAUGGUUCAAUAGUGAAAGACGGUUUUGCUGUCACUUAUAGAUGGAUCCGCGCCGCAUUAGCUAGUUGGUAAGGUAACGGCUUACCAAGGCAACGAUGCGUAGCCGACCUGGGAGGGUGAUCGGCCACACUGGAACUGAGACACGGUCCAGACUCCUACGGGAGGCAGCAGUAGGGAAUCUUCCGCAAUGGGCGAAAGCCUGACGGAGCAACGCCGCGUGAGUGAUGAAGGUCUUCGGAUCGUAAAACUCUGUUAUUAGGGAAGAACAAAUGUGUAAGUAACUAUGCACGUCUUGACGGUACCUAAUCAGAAAGCCACGGCUAACUACGUG
Molecule: ribosomal RNA, 497 nt
Filed under: uncultured bacterium
Lineage: Bacteria
Description: partial 16S ribosomal RNA
Rfam family: Bacterial small subunit ribosomal RNA
Source: RNAcentral